GCCUGGGUGGCUCAGUCGGUUGAGCGUCUGACUUCGGCUCAGGUCACGAUCUCGCAGUCUGUGAGUUCGAGCCCCGCAUCAGGCU
This 85-nucleotide transfer RNA is filed under the name Felis catus (domestic cat). It matches the Rfam family "tRNA". Rfam says of the family: Transfer RNA (tRNA) molecules are approximately 80 nucleotides in length. Their secondary structure includes four short double-helical elements and three loops (D, anti-codon, and T loops). Lineage: Eukaryota; Metazoa; Chordata; Mammalia; Carnivora; Felidae. The record is from Rfam by way of RNAcentral.